UACGGAGGGUGCAAGCGUUAUCCGGAUUCACUGGGCUUAAAGGGUGCGUAGGUGGGCAGGUAAGUCAGUGGUGAAAUCUCUGGGCUUAACCCAGAAACUGCCGUUGAUACUAUCUGUCUUGAAUAUAGUGGAGGUGGGCGGAAUAUGUCAUGUAGCGGUGAAAUGCUUAGAUAUGACAUAGAACACCCAUUGCGAAGGCAGCUCGCUACACUAUUAUUGACACUGAGGCACGAAAGCGUGGGGAUCAAACAGG
RNAcentral lists this ribosomal RNA (253 nucleotides) under uncultured bacterium. Its description in RNAcentral is "partial 16S ribosomal RNA". It matches the Rfam family "Bacterial small subunit ribosomal RNA", at positions 524 to 776 of the family's 1533-position model. The record is from RNAcentral.